GCCAUUCUCUAAUCUUGAGUACCCAGGGACACGAUACACUGCGGAAGGCUGCAGGGACCUCUGCCCAGGAAAGCCAGGCUUGCAUGAAGGAAAUGAUUUCCUAUGAUUCUGCUUACUGCUUAAAAAAAUUAAUCAAGUUUUCUGCCUGACAAGAUCCAGUAUCUGCCGGAGGAGCCCCACCUUCUGCUACUAUUAUGUUCUUCAGAUGAGUAGAAGAGAGUGGGGAGGGAGAGAGCAGGAAGAAGAAAGGAAGAAUAAUGUCUUGAAAUUGAACAUUCAGCAGGAACUGUGGAAAUCCAAGUCAAGUAAUAUUCUCAACAGUUUUCUAAGGAUAAUGGUCUCCAGCUUCGUCAAUGUUCCUGCAAAGGACAUGAUGCUGACUUUGAAGAUGCAAGCUUCCACAUCUACAGCCUCAAGGAAACAAAUUCAGCCAACCAACUGAGGGAGCUUUCCUUGUCCUGCCUCAAGAUGAGAUCACAGUCUGCCCAACACCAUGAUUUAGGCCUUGUGACACCUGGUAUGGAAGACCCAAGCUCAGAUGGAAAAGAAUGGUGUUACUGAGACCCUUCAAGAUUCCCAGUGUAAUUCAAUAAAGAAAAGGCAACACAAAGGGGUUGUAUAGAAUUCGCCACAUUAUGGACCCAUGUCAUAGAGAGAAUCCACGGUGCAUUUGUUAGCUGCAUUUAAAUGACAACACUUUCAGAUCCAAGAUUUAUUUGGGAUAAAAAUUUACCUGGAUGCAAGGCUAUUCAGAAUGAAGAUUAAUGAUAUGGUUUGGCUGUGUCCCCACCCAAACUUCAUCUUGAAUUCCCACGUGUUGUGAGAGGGACCUGGUGGGAGAUAAUUGAACCAUGGGGGCAGGUCUUUCUCAUGCUGUUCUCAUGAGAGUGAAUAAGUCUCAUGAAACCUGAUGGUUUUAUAAGGGGGAAUUUCCCUGCACAAGCUCUCUCUCUGCCUUUUGCCAUCCAUGUAAGACGUGACUUGGUCCUCCUUGCCUUCUACCAUGAUUAUGAGGCCUCCCCAGCCACGUGGAACUGUGAGUCCAUUAAACCUCUUUCUUUUGUAAA
Molecule: long non-coding RNA, 1067 nt
Filed under: Homo sapiens (human)
Lineage: Eukaryota; Metazoa; Chordata; Mammalia; Primates; Hominidae
Description: HIF1A stabilizing long noncoding RNA
Source: RNAcentral